Molecule: small RNA, 1412 nt
Filed under: Pan troglodytes (chimpanzee)
Lineage: Eukaryota; Metazoa; Chordata; Mammalia; Primates; Hominidae
Description: processed transcript
Source: RNAcentral
GUUUGAGUUCAUUUAUAGUCAGAGGGUUUUAAUUUACUUGUGAAGUUCACACUAUUGAAACUAAUUGCAAUGCUUGACUUUAUUUUCUUUAGAGUCCAAGAAAGAGAAAAACAAGGCAUAGCACAAAUCCCCCUCUAGAGUGUCAUGUUGGUUGGGUAAUGGAUUCCAGAGACCAUGGGCCAAGAACAUCCUCUGUCAGCACUUCAAAUGCUUCACCUUCAGAAGGCGCACCACUAGCAGGAAGUUAUGGAUGUACUCCUCAUUCAUUCCCAAAGUUCCAGCAUCCUUCUCAUGAACUUUUGAAGGAAAAUGGCUUUACCCAACAAGUGUACCACAGGUAUCGUCGAAGAUGCCUAAGUGAGAGAAAACGCUUGGGAAUUGGUCAGUCCCAAGAAAUGAAUACCCUCUUUCGUUUCUGGUCCUUUUUCCUCAGAGAUCACUUCAAUAAAAAAAUGUAUGAGGAAUUUAGACAACUUGCUUGGGAAGAUGCAAAAGAAAAUUACAGGUAUGGGUUAGAAUGUCUGUUCAGGUUUUAUAGUUAUGGACUGGAAAAAAAAUUCAGGCGAGAAAUUUUUCAGGAUUUCCAAGAAGAAACCAAAAAAGACUACGAAUCUGGUCAGCUGUAUGGACUAGAAAAGUUUUGGGCUUAUUUGAAAUAUUCUCAAUCUAAGACACAGUCUAUUGACCCAAAACUUCAGGAAUACCUCUGUAGUUUUAAGAGGUUAGAAGACUUCCGUGUUGAUGAGGCUGAUCCAAUAGAGUAAUACCUAAUUAUAUCACCAUGAGAUGGCAAAACGGAAUGUCAGAUCUGUAGACUUUUGACAGGAAAAAUCACCAUGAUCGAUUACUUCUGCUCAUCGUAAACAUCUAGUUCCUAAGCAGGAUAUGAGAAUCUGCCUUCCUGUGACCUCUCCUGGGCUCAGUGACACUCCAGUCGCCGCCCCACCCCACACCAAUGCCACUUCCAAGUUUGACUUGCAUCUUACAAACCAUAUUUCUGUUUACUUUUUUUCUGCCCUGGGACAUUUUUAAUAACUUUUAGAUAACAACUUCAACAAAAAUUUACCUCCCACCAAGAGAAGUUGUCUUUAUUGUGAGAAGUUGUCUUUAUUCCCAAGAAGGGGAAUAACUUGCUCUUUAAGUCAGUUUUAUUACAGGUAAAUUUGUACCAGCUUUUUCCUCUACUUGUGUUAAGACCUGUCUCCAAUAGACAUUCCAAUUGAGGAUUGUGGAAAUAGCAGAUUACAUUGGUGUCUGCCCACCACUGAAGGCAAAAAGCUGGUUUAUCUAGGCCACAGGCAGAGCCCGCAGGGGAGGCAGGUAACUUCUCGGACCACCAGAUUAUCUUGAUCUUCAGCCAGCUUUAUUGUUGUUCUACAUUUUAAUAAACACUACAUGUUUAUUUUAUUUUA